RNAcentral lists this transfer RNA (74 nucleotides) under Diceratias pileatus. RNAcentral's name for it is "tRNA-Lys". It matches the Rfam family "tRNA". Rfam says of the family: Transfer RNA (tRNA) molecules are approximately 80 nucleotides in length. Their secondary structure includes four short double-helical elements and three loops (D, anti-codon, and T loops). Lineage: Eukaryota; Metazoa; Chordata; Actinopteri; Lophiiformes; Diceratiidae. The record is from RNAcentral.
CGCUAAGAAGCUAAGCAGGGCCUAGCGUUAGCCUUUUAAGCUAAAAAAUGGUGACUCCCGACCACCCUUAGUGA